RNAcentral lists this transfer RNA (83 nucleotides) under Faecalibacterium prausnitzii. Its description in RNAcentral is "tRNA-Leu". It matches the Rfam family "tRNA". Rfam says of the family: Transfer RNA (tRNA) molecules are approximately 80 nucleotides in length. Their secondary structure includes four short double-helical elements and three loops (D, anti-codon, and T loops). Lineage: Bacteria; Bacillati; Bacillota; Clostridia; Eubacteriales; Oscillospiraceae. The record is from RNAcentral. RNAcentral also lists the same sequence under 1 other name.
GCCGGUGUGUCGGAAUGGCAGACGAGGGGGACUCAAAAUCCCUUGGUGGCAACAUCGUGUGGGUUCGACCCCCACCACCGGCA